Long non-coding RNA from Wasmannia auropunctata (little fire ant), 2583 nucleotides. RefSeq lists it as uncharacterized. Lineage: Eukaryota; Metazoa; Arthropoda; Insecta; Hymenoptera; Formicidae. The record is from RefSeq and is a predicted model, not a curated record. The transcript has 2 exons.
CGUUACCGUUACUGAAAAAAAAAAUAACGAAAACGGUGACGAUUACAAGAAACGCGUUACUUUCUAACUCUGCAAACAUUUUCCCACUUGUUCCUCAAUUGCGUCAUACUUGUAACAUUGCCAGCUCACGUGAUCUAUGUCCUUGGGAAAAAUUCGAUUAAAUAAGCAUUACUAAUACGGUUACACGGAAAGCGAUCAUACGCGCGGAUUGUUGCGGCGUCGAGCGACGCAGUGACGAGGGCAGCGGUAGGUGUGGAAAGUCGUCUCACUCUAUUCUUUAUUAAGCGGCGUCUAUAAUAAGUCUUAAAACUCAAGAUUUAAGAAAAUUGACCAAUCACAAUCGAUUAUUCUUUUCACGUAAGAUGAAUACUUCACUAUAAUUUGUCAAUUUUCUAAAAUCUUAAGUCUUAAGUCUCACUGUAGACGCCGUUUUAAGGAGAUAGGAGGACGAAAUACGCAGAUGUAAUUAUAUGAAAUCAUAGUACGAGUUGCACCGACCAGGUCGGCGCGAGUCGCCGGACGUGGAGGUCGAAGGCAUGGACAGGAUCAAUCCCGUCGAGCACGAGGAUAGGAUACUCGGAGGAAUCAGAGGACAUCAGGAUAGAAUUUCCCCGAAUAUGUAAUUCCAGAUACGGAAUACUGCGGAAUACUAGAAGGACGAUGACGGCGAAGGAAGUGGAGUGGCAGGGAAAUAUUUUAUCAAACUCGAAGUGAUAAAUUGAUAUAAGUAUUUCAUAUUAUUCACAAUAGUGAAUAGUGAAAAAAUUUGCGAACUGAUAGCUUUUUAGUUCUCUCGAAAUCUUAAUCGUGUCUGAAUCGUACGUUUUUAAUCUGCGAUAAAGUAAAUUAACACCUUUCUGGUGCUUUUGUAUUAGAUAUUUUCGUCACGUCCCUUUCUUCUAUUCUUUUGUAUUUUUCUACAUUAUUUUAUUGUACAUUUUACACAUCCUUAAAAAGUCCAAAAACGCUAAAAUAUCUCGAAAAUGAUCAAUUCUAAAAAAAUGUGAAAAAUAUGUAGCAAAAGAGAAGCAAAGUUAUAGGAUUUAAAAAAUUUAUCUAACGGUAAAGAGUUGAUUUUGAAUGAAGUCUGCGAGGUCAUAUAAAGACAAGUUAAAUUAUUUUUUUUUUGUUAAGUAUAUUUCAAGUUACAAGAUUUGAAAUUUAUAAUUCUGCCAGCAUUAUCUCAGGUGUCUGAAUAACGACUAAAAGCUCUUGAAUAUUGUCAGGGUCAUGAAAUCAAGAUUAAGGUCAUUAGAGUGUUCCUGUAAUGAAUGUACUAAUUGCAUCUGACUGUUUGCAAGAUUAAUCAAACUCUCGUUGCCUCUCAUCUUACAGCUCACAGUUUACCAUUUUGACGAUUUUCUCGAGAACUUCGUGAAUAAAUUCCAAAGCGCGUCAUUACAAGUACGUUAAGUAUUAACUUCUCAAAGCUAUCUGUAAGUAAACGAAUACGAUAGAUUCGUCUCGUGGAAUCACUGGCUCUGUCCGAGAUUUUCUAGUCAAGUUGGAAUCGAUAUCUUCUUUCAGAAGAUGUCAAAAUACUCUUGCCAGUUUUGUUCAAUUGGUCGUUGAAAAUGGAAGACUUUUUGUGCAAAUAAAUAUUGAUUAAGAAUACUAGCUCUAACAGAAUUUUAAUUGGAAUUUAAUAUACUCACACAUUGAAUGGCCGGAUUUACAUAUAAACUUUACGUAAGAGCACGUAAGAACUGCGCAGCAUAAAGAGUUUUAUAGUAUAGAAGGUUUUGCGCUACGUUAAAAUACUUAUCGAUAAUUAUUAUUAUAUUUAUAAUAUUAACAAUUUAUUUUUACAGAUAUGAACGAUAUUGAAAUCGAAACUGACAAUCUAAUCGUUUCCAAUGUCUUUUUUUAGCUUACUUAAAUUUUUCUAUAGUAAGAACGAUAAAAGAAUAUACGCAUGAUUUGCUAAAAUUAUCAAAAGGAAAAUAAAAUUACUUAAAAAGUUAUGCAAGAGAUUUAGGGAUACAUUAAUACGAAAUUAUUUAUAUUGCAGGAAUCUUGUGAUACAGACAAAUACAAAAUAUUCUGAAAGAUAUUCCCUACACGAUGUCAAAAAAAAAUUGUAAUAAGUGCAUGUACAAAUUUCACUGGGAACCACAAAUUAAGAAUAUUAUAGCGAAGAAGCUCCUGAUAACAAUAUUUCUUUUUGAAAUCAUAGUUUGUUAAUAAAAAUAUAGGAGGCGUUCUCAGUAAAUACUAAAGAGAUGUUUUCAUAUAGAGAAAGAUACUAGAGACACAUGCAAAUAUGAAUGUAAAAAACUAUGUUAAAGACAAUGCGUAAAUUUAUACACGUAUUUUAUAUUUUGUGACAUUUUCUUUUAAGUCUUUUAAUUUUAUGUCACCAUAACAAUUUUCAGUCACCAUAACAUUUAUAGUACAUAUAAUAUUUAUUUAUAGUAUAGAUUCAGUGCGCAUUAAUAUGUACAGUAAGAUCAAUUGAUAUUGAUCUUACUAUAAGUGACUAACCAAAUUUUAAAAAUGUUAAAAGAAAAAACAUUAUUUUACUCCUCAUUCAUUGAAGUGACGAAUAUGAUUUAUUUUGAAAUAAAUGCUUGUGAGAAAUAA